UCCCUUGACGACUGCCUGACUGAGGCUGCUACUUUCUAGAUGCCUUCUGCUCUAAGAAGGCUUUUUGCGACUAUUUUGGUGUUCUGCGAGGCGACCAACAUCAAGGAACUAUGGGACAAACAUCUGGAGGCGAUGACUGAGGAUUAUCGUCGUAUCCAGCCCAACCAAGCAGCAUUAGAGCAGAUGGUGCUUAGAGACAUUAGGGAUUUGAUUCAUUCGAUGGGUAAGGAUAUUAAAAGUUACGGCCUUCCAGAGGUGGUUGAAACAGACGGCGAUCAUUCUAGCGACAACUUGAGAGAGGUUCGGUAGGAAUUGUCAGUCGGUGUGGACCAAGAUCAUCUAGAUUUAUUUACUUCUUUGAACACUGAGCAGCGAGCUGGAUUUGAUGAAAUAUUGGAUCACGUGGUCAACAAUAGGAGCCAAAUAUUCUUU
Molecule: ribosomal RNA, 432 nt
Filed under: Triticum aestivum (bread wheat)
Lineage: Eukaryota; Viridiplantae; Streptophyta; Magnoliopsida; Poales; Poaceae
Description: partial small subunit ribosomal RNA
Source: RNAcentral